UCCUAUAUCGCAGAUCCAAAUUGCCUCCCGU
This 31-nucleotide non-coding RNA is filed under the name Mus musculus (house mouse). The record is from RNAcentral. Lineage: Eukaryota; Metazoa; Chordata; Mammalia; Rodentia; Muridae.